GUCUUUUUGAUGAAUAAUUUAAAGUCUAAUCUGCCCCCUGAAAUUAUUUUAAAGGGCUGCGGUAUUUUAACCGUACAAAGGUAGCAUAAUAAUUAGGUUUUUGAUUGAAAUCUAGAAUGAAUGAUUGGACGAGAUGCAAGCUGUUUUAUAAUAAUUAAUUAAAAUUUAAUUUUUUAGUCAAAAAGCUGAAAUUUUAUUGAAAGACGAGAAGACCCUAUAAAUCUUUAUAAUAAAUUUAUUUUAAUAAAUUAUUUUAUAUAAAUUAAUAGUUUUAAUAUUAAAUUAUUUUAUUGGGGUGAUACAAAAAUUUAAUUAACUUUUUUAUUAGUAUUUCUUAAAUAAAAGAUUUAUAAAAAUAUGAUCUAUUAUUAAUAAUUCAGAGAAUAAGAUACUUUAGGGAUAACAGCGUAAUUUUAAUUUUAAGUUCUUAUUAAAAUUAAAGAUUGCGACCUCGAUGUUGGAUUAAAAUUUAAUUUAAAUGCAAAGGUUUAAAAAUUAAGUCUGUUCGACUUUUAAAAUUUU
RNAcentral lists this ribosomal RNA (522 nucleotides) under Drusus discolor. Its description in RNAcentral is "partial 16S ribosomal RNA". Lineage: Eukaryota; Metazoa; Arthropoda; Insecta; Trichoptera; Limnephilidae. The record is from RNAcentral.